UACGGAGGAUGCGAGCGUUAUCCGGAUUUAUUGGGUUUAAAGGGUGCGUAGGCGGCCGAGUAAGUCAGCGGUGAAAUUUUGCAGCUUAACUGUAACAGUGCCGUUGAUACUGCAUGGCUAGGAUUUGGUUGCUGUGGGUGGAAUGUGUGGUGUAGCGGUGAAAUGCUUAGAUAUCACACAGAAUAUCAAUUGCGAAGACAGCUCACAAAGCCAAGAUUGACGCUGAGGCACGAAAGUGUGGGGAUCAAA
RNAcentral lists this ribosomal RNA (249 nucleotides) under uncultured prokaryote. RNAcentral's name for it is "partial 16S ribosomal RNA". It matches the Rfam family "Bacterial small subunit ribosomal RNA", at positions 524 to 772 of the family's 1533-position model. The record is from RNAcentral.